This 500-nucleotide ribosomal RNA is filed under the name uncultured Acidobacteriota bacterium. RNAcentral describes it as "bacterial SSU rRNA". It matches the Rfam family "Bacterial small subunit ribosomal RNA", at positions 13 to 529 of the family's 1533-position model. The record is from RNAcentral. Lineage: Bacteria; Pseudomonadati; Acidobacteriota.
UUGAUCCUGGCUCAGAAUCAACGCUGGCGGCGUGCCUAACACAUGCAAGUCGAACGAGAAAGUGGAGCAAUCCAUGAGUAAAGUGGCGACCGGGUGAGUUACACGUGACUAACCUACCCUUGAGUGGGGAAUAACCUUCCGAAAGGAGGUCUAAUACCGCAUAAAGUCCAGAGGCUGAAAUGCCAUUGGACCAAAGGAGUAAUUCGCUUAGGGAGGGGGUCGCGGUUGAUUAGCUAGUUGGUGGGGUAAUGGCCUACCAAGGCGAUGAUCAAUAGCCGGCCUGAGAGGGCGCACGGCUAUACUGGAACUGAAACACGGUCCAGACUCCUACGGGAGGCAGCAGUGGGGAUUUUUGCGCAAUGGGGGAAACCCUGACGCAGCAACGCCGCGUGAAGGAUGUAGGUCUUUGGAUUGUAAACUUCUUUCGUCCGGGAAGAUAAUGACGGUACUGGAAUAAGAAGCCCCGGCUAACUUCGUGCCAGCAGCCGCGGUAAUAAGGU